Molecule: ribosomal RNA, 417 nt
Filed under: uncultured bacterium
Lineage: Bacteria
Description: bacterial SSU rRNA
Rfam family: Bacterial small subunit ribosomal RNA
Source: RNAcentral
UGGGGAAUAUUGGGCAAUGGGCGCAAGCCUGACCCAGCAACGCCGCGUGAAGGAAGAAGGCUUUCGGGUUGUAAACUUCUUUUCUCAGGGACGAAGCAAGUGACGGUACCUGAGGAAUAAGCCACGGCUAACUACGUGCCAGCAGCCGCGGUAAUACGUAGGUGGCAAGCGUUAUCCGGAUUUACUGGGUGUAAAGGGCGUGUAGGCGGGAAAGCAAGUCAGAUGUGAAAACCAUGGGCUCAACCUGUGGCCUGCAUUUGAAACUGUUUUCUUGAGUACUGGAGAGGCAGACGGAAUUCCUAGUGUAGCGGUGAAAUGCGUAGAUAUUAGGAGGAACACCAGUGGCGAAGGCGGUCUGCUGGACAGCAACUGACGCUGAGGCUCGAAAGCGUGGGGAGCAAACAGGAUUAGAUACCC